RNAcentral lists this unclassified non-coding RNA (250 nucleotides) under plant metagenome. RNAcentral describes it as "partial contains small subunit ribosomal RNA, internal transcribed spacer 1, and 5.8S ribosomal RNA". The record is from RNAcentral.
GUAGGUAAGUUGAUAUCAAAGAUCCUCACCCAUGGGAAACCGUCACUAACAUCUCUUCCAGGUGAACCUGCGGAAGGAUCAUUACAGUGUUAAGGCUUCGGCCUCAUUCACACCCCUUGUUUAACCUCUGGUUUCUUUGGCGAUGUCAUGGACUCGUCAAACUUUAACUCUGAUAAUGCGAUAUUGUCCGAGUGAGAUUGAAUUAUCAAAACUUUCAACAACGGAUCUCUUGGUUCCAGCAUCGAUGAAG